CAGAUGUUCAGAUGGGUCCGGAGUUUCUUCCUUCUGGUGGGUUCGUGGCUGACAUCAGGAGUGAAGCUGCAUCCCUUUGUGCUAGACACAAAAGUUCUCCAAGUCCCCACCCAUCCCAGAAGCCCAGCAGGCUUCACCUUUCACUGGCACUGGCUUGACUUUGCGGCACCUAUCCUGGACACUCCGGCAACCCAGAAGGAGCUCGUCCCAGACAACCAAGAGGAAAAGGGGAAGCCAGAAAGAGACAGAGACCCGCCAUCGUUGCCAACAACUCGGUGAAGAGGGAAUGGCGAUCCAAGCAGGGGACCCAGCCUCUGAUCAAGCCCAGCAGGCACCAGCCUGCUGCCCGGAGUGCGGGGCCCUCCGAGCCCGUGCCCACCCAGAACCCAUGCCGGACUGCAAGCACCGCGCAGCCCCAGCUCUCGUCUGCGCCUCUCCCUCCACACCUCCCUGGAGCAGAGGGAGCCGGCUCCAGCCUCCGCCAGCCCCAGAAAGGGGACCCCACAGCGCAGUGGUGGGCUGAAGGGCUCUUCAAGCACGGCCAGAGCGGACGCCGAGGCCGAGGAGGCCCCGAGAGCUAGCAAGGGCUGCUAGCACAUUGUCACCUCUCAGAAGUCCAAUUCUCUUACCAUCUGCUUAGAGUUUUUCACUUCUUUGUGGCCCUGGGAACUCUUUUUCAUAUAUGAGUUCUGGAAUAUUUCUGGUGAUAAUCUUGACAUUGUACAUUUGGUUUUGGUUUAUUGUGGAGGGAGUGAAGUCAGCAUGCUUCUAUGCUGCCAUUUUGGAACUGGAAGUCCUCCUGACCCACAGAAACAGAAAUAAUAAAUGUGUAUUCCUUCAGGCUA
Long non-coding RNA from Homo sapiens (human), 845 nucleotides. RefSeq lists it as uncharacterized. NCBI's taxonomy places the organism in Eukaryota, Metazoa, Chordata, Mammalia, Primates, Hominidae. The transcript has 2 exons. The record is from RefSeq and is marked validated.